AUUACACUAUGAGCGCUUCUAGAUUUAUUAAAUGUGUUACCGUCGGCGAUGGUGCUGUAGGCAAGACCUGUUUGUUGAUCUCUUAUACCAGUAACACCUUCCCCACGGUCAGCUNUUAUACCAGUAACACCUUCCCCACGGUCAGCUCUCUCUCUCUCUCUCCCUCCCUAUAGACUAGAAUGUUUGUCAUUUCUUGGUUUAUUAUUUGAUUCGGUAUUUGCCCUAAUUUUAACCUGGUUGCUUUCUGUUUUGACGUGUUGCUAUUUUUGCAAAAUUGAUUUUUG
Molecule: long non-coding RNA, 284 nt
Filed under: Daucus carota (carrot)
Lineage: Eukaryota; Viridiplantae; Streptophyta; Magnoliopsida; Apiales; Apiaceae
Description: long non-coding RNA (DCAR_LNC001940)
Source: RNAcentral